Molecule: unclassified non-coding RNA, 235 nt
Filed under: Melitaea cinxia (Glanville fritillary)
Lineage: Eukaryota; Metazoa; Arthropoda; Insecta; Lepidoptera; Nymphalidae
Description: misc RNA ENSMCXG00005003434.1
Source: RNAcentral
CGUCCAUUUACAAAAAAGGCAAUUAUGUUUAAGGAAGCGAUGAGAGAUGUGGCCAACCGAUCACUUGUCAGUGAGAACCCCAUUCAUCCUUUUGAAAGAAAAAUGCUGAAAAAUGAAACAAUUAAUUCAUCUGUUUCGUUACCUUUUCUAAAUAAAUAAAUAUGGAUUUUAAUUAGUAUUUUUGUACAUUAAAAUUAUAAUUAUAUAUUAAAGUACAAUUGAAAUAAACAACUUC